This 253-nucleotide ribosomal RNA is filed under the name uncultured bacterium. RNAcentral's name for it is "partial 16S ribosomal RNA". It matches the Rfam family "Bacterial small subunit ribosomal RNA", at positions 524 to 776 of the family's 1533-position model. The record is from RNAcentral.
UACGAAGGGGGCUAGCGUUGCUCGGAAUCACUGGGUGUAAAGCGCACGUAGGCGGCUUUUUAAGUCAGGGGUGAAAUCCUGGAGCUCAACUCCAGAACUGCCUUUGAUACUGAGAAGCUUGAGUCCGGGAGAGGUGAGUGGAACUGCGAGUGUAGAAGUGAAAUUCGUAGAUAUUCGCAAGAACACCAGUGGCGAAGGCGGCUCACUGGCCCGGUACUGACGCUGAGGUGCGAAAGCGUGGGGAGCAAACAGG